Cricetulus griseus (Chinese hamster) is the source of this 287-nucleotide unclassified non-coding RNA. It matches the Rfam family "Metazoan signal recognition particle RNA". Rfam says of the family: The signal recognition particle (SRP) is a universally conserved ribonucleoprotein. Lineage: Eukaryota; Metazoa; Chordata; Mammalia; Rodentia; Cricetidae. The record is from Ensembl.
GCCGGGCGCGGUGGCGCACGCCUGUAGUCCCAGCUACUCGGGAGGCUGAGACAGGAGGAUCGCUUGAGUCCAGGAGUUCUGGGCUGUAGUGCGCUAUGCCGAUCGGGUGUCCGCACUAAGUUCGGCAUCAAUAUGGUGACCUCCCGGGAGCGGGGAGCCACCAGGUUGCCUAAGGAGGGGUGAACCGGCCCAGGUCGGAAACGGAGCAGGUCAAAACUCCCGUGCUGAUCAGUAGUGGGAUCGCGCCUGUGAAUAGCCACUGAUAUUGGAUUAAAGUCUCUUUCUUC